Humulus lupulus (European hop) is the source of this 1885-nucleotide long non-coding RNA. RefSeq lists it as uncharacterized. The record is from RefSeq and is a predicted model, not a curated record. The transcript is spliced from 7 exons. NCBI's taxonomy places the organism in Eukaryota, Viridiplantae, Streptophyta, Magnoliopsida, Rosales, Cannabaceae.
CAUAUCUACAAUGCUUUAGAGAAAAUACAAGAUGAGUUUCCACCUAGGAAACCACAUGGAUUUGAGGACAUCAUAAAUGAUGAUUAAUGGUUAGAAUUUGUCAACUCAAGAUUAACACCAGAGUGGAAAGAUAAGAGAUUACAGAUGUAAGAAUAUCAAGCAAUGAACAAAUACAACCACAACCUAUCUAGAGGAGCUUACGUGCGUGUGGAAGAGAUGCUUCAACAACAGACUCGGCAACUAUUAUCUGAUAUUGAUAGAGCUGACUUAUGGACGAUGGGUCGACCGAAGAAUAAAGAAUGAGAACUUAUUGGAGAGGCUCAUUAUCAAAAGAUAUUGUUUCGGCUAGCGCUAUGAGAAAUGAGUUUGAGGAAAGACUUCGUCAACAAGAAGAAUGACAUCGUCAACAAGAAGCACAUCUAGAAGAACGUUUUCAUAAACAAGAGAAAAUGUUGAGAUCUUUCAUGGGCCAACAGAGCGGUUUAGGAUCCAAUAGUGGAGUCCCACCAUUAGUUCCAAACCCACCGGGGCCAUCUUACUAUGUGCCCGACCCACCAGCACCAUCUUACUAUGUGCCUAACCCUCCAGAGCCAUCAUGCUAUGUGCCCGACCCACCAGCGCCAUCUUACUAUCAACCCGACCCACCAGCACCAUUUGUGCCUGAGGUAAUUUCAAUUUGAUAGUUAAAAAUGACUAUGUAUGUACAUGCAUACACACAUAUAUACAUAAUGCUACUUAUUAUAAUGUGCAUGUAUCUAGUUAUCAGUUAGAUAUUGGUUAGCUAUCGAAUAUUGUUACAUCAGACAAACUCAUUGACAAAGAGUGAGGUAACAACUACCAAGUGGUGAUUACUGACGCUAUUAAGUCGGCGACGCCUCUUCCUUAUGCAAAACUUGAUCAGAAUACGUACAUAGUCAUUCAGGCUAUUGGGCAUCCUAUAUCGUGGCCUAAGGAAUUGGCCAUCGUAUCUGAUGAUAUACAUGAACAGACUUGUUCUAGAAGUAAUAACAUAUCAAAACGACCAAUUACUCCCUCAACACAAUGACCACGAGAAAGGAUACAACGUUUGAGUGAUCUUCUGACACAAGACACCAAUCCGUUGGAGCAGAUAGACAAUAUUAUAUCUCGUUGGGAUGACAACGACUGUGUCAAUCAAGGCAUAGAUGAGGAUGUAUUUGGUCACGAUAUUUCAAGUCUUUACGUAUGCAAAGAGGACAUACUUCAAUUUAUUCGAAUGAAAAAGAUUGGACAAGGAGUUAUUGUUUGCUACAUGAGCCACUAAAGGAAGUUAAUUUGAAGAGCAUGUUCAAGGCCUGUUCAAGCGCUGUCAUCAAUUAAGAUCAAUGAUCAUUGGAUGUUGAUUAUAUUGGCCCCAUAUGCAUAUUACGUUUGUUGUUGUGAUCCGGUGAGAACUCAGAACUGGAAAACCGUGAAGAAAUUGUGGUUGUAAUAGUCAAUGCUUUUAACCUUUUUCUGAUUAGUCUACCAAAACCUUCUGAGAUUCCAAAUAAUAUAGAAAUUGUGCAACCGAAAUGUCCACACCAACCAGACAAUGUGGCAUGUGGAUAUUAUGUGAUAAGAAUGUUGAAGGAUUACAUUGCACAUUCACGACCUGGGCAUUACUUGAAGAAAGAGCUAAACACUACGCCAUACACACCGGCAUAGAUUAAUGAAAUGCAACAACAGUGGGCGAACCAUAUACUACCGAUAAUCCAAAGUCAUCGUCGCAUAUAUUAAGUUUUAGUUUUUGUUUACUUUUUCUUUCUUACUAUAUGUCUAGCUAACUAGUGUAAUAUUUGUUAAUUUUUUAUGUUUAACAACAAAUAUUGCCUUUUAGUAUAUUUAGCUAGCAAAAACAUAUUAUAUAUACAUUUCAGUUUUAUUA